GGAAGAAGCCGCGGCGCAAAUUUGGCCUCCGAAGCCGAGGGUCGCGCGUUCGAAUCGCGCCUUUCCA
This 67-nucleotide transfer RNA is filed under the name Vreelandella subglaciescola. RNAcentral describes it as "tRNA-Ser". Lineage: Bacteria; Pseudomonadati; Pseudomonadota; Gammaproteobacteria; Oceanospirillales; Halomonadaceae. The record is from RNAcentral.